This 253-nucleotide ribosomal RNA is filed under the name uncultured bacterium. RNAcentral's name for it is "partial 16S ribosomal RNA". It matches the Rfam family "Bacterial small subunit ribosomal RNA", at positions 524 to 776 of the family's 1533-position model. The record is from RNAcentral.
UACGUAGGGUGCAAGCGUUAAUCGGAAUUACUGGGCGUAAAGGGCGCGUAGGCGGCGCAACAAGUCACUUGUGAAAUCUCCGGGCUUAACCCGGAGCGGCCAAGUGAUACUGUCGUGCUAGAGUGCGGAAGGGGCUACUGGAAUUCUCGGUGUAGCGGUGAAAUGCGUAGAUAUCGAGAGGAACACCUGCGGCGAAGGCGGGUUGCUGGGCUGAUACUGACGCUGAGGCGCGAAAGCCAGGGGAGCGAACGGG